RNAcentral lists this ribosomal RNA (567 nucleotides) under Triticum aestivum (bread wheat). Its description in RNAcentral is "partial small subunit ribosomal RNA". The record is from RNAcentral. Lineage: Eukaryota; Viridiplantae; Streptophyta; Magnoliopsida; Poales; Poaceae.
AUGAGGGCUUUAUUCUGGAAUAUUAGAGGGUUCGGUGCUAGGGGGCGCCGCGGCCAACUCAAAGAUCUGGUUCGCUCUAACUCUAUUGACUUCGUGGGGUUGGUUGAAACUUUUAAGGAAUCGUUUUCCCCUAAUGAACUCUCUGCUAUCGUGGGCAUGGACAGAUUCAAUUGGCACACGUUACCUGCUUCGGGUCACUCGGGUGGGAUCUUGAUAGGCUUUAAUAAAGAUAUUUUUGAUUUUGUUGCGUUUGAUCAUGGGAUUUUUUGGGCUAGUUCUGUACUUUGUCAUAAAGCCAUGAAUAUCCUCUGCGAGUUUAUCGUCGUUUAUGGGCCGGCGGAUCAUUCUUUGUCUCCUUUAUUUCUUAAUGAGCUUUCUGUGAAGAUCGAAUCCUGCAAUCUCCCGAUGGUUAUCGGGGGAGACUUUAAUCUUCUGUGGUUUCCUUCUGAUAAAAAUAAUAAUAUCUUUUCCUGGCCUCUAGCUAAUGCUUUUAAUGACUUCAUCAGUGUCAGUGCUAUUCGUGAGCUUCCCCGGGGCGGAGCUCGUUAUACCUGGUCCAAUCAUUAG